This 156-nucleotide unclassified non-coding RNA is filed under the name uncultured Leotiomycetes. RNAcentral describes it as "sequence contains ITS1". Lineage: Eukaryota; Fungi; Ascomycota; Leotiomycetes. The record is from RNAcentral.
CAGAGUUCAUGCCCUAACGGGUAGAUCUCCCACCCUUGAAUACUAUACUUAGUUGCUUUGGCAGGCUGCUUCGGCAACUGGCUUCUGCUAGUCACGCCUGCCAAAGGAUAUUUAAACUCUGAAUUAUUGUGUCGUCUGAGUACUAUAUAAUAGUUA